GCCCGCCUAGCUCAAUCGGAUAGAGCGUCGGACUCUUAUGUACAUAGGAGUUGCGGGUCAACACAAACAGUUAUCUGAAGGCUGCGAGUUCGACCCUCGCGGUGGGCU
Asterophora parasitica is the source of this 108-nucleotide non-coding RNA. The record is from the annotation of a GenBank genome assembly. NCBI's taxonomy places the organism in Eukaryota, Fungi, Basidiomycota, Agaricomycetes, Agaricales, Lyophyllaceae.